AGAGUUUGAUCCUGGCUCAGAUUGAACGCUGGCGGCAUGCUUUACACAUGCAAGUCGAGCGGGGUGGAGGGGCAACUCUUCAUUCAGCGGCGGACGGGUGAGUAAUGCAUCGGAACGUAUCCUGAAGUGGGGGACAACCCAGCGAAAGCUGGGCUAAUACCGCAUACGCUCGGGAGAGGAAAGUGGGGGACCUGAAAGGGCCUCAUGCUUUGGGGGCGGCCGAUGUCCGAUUAGCUGGUUGGUGGGGUAAAGGCCUACCAAGGCGACGAUCGGUAGCUGGUCUGAGAGGAUGAUCAGCCACACUGGGACUGAGACACGGCCCAGACUCCUACGGGAGGCAGCAGUGGGGAAUUUUGGACAAUGGGGGCAACCCUGAUCCAGCCAUGCCGCGUGCGGGAAGAAGGCCUUCGGGUUGUAAACCGCUUUUGGUCGGGAAGAAAGGGUCACCGU
RNAcentral lists this ribosomal RNA (450 nucleotides) under uncultured soil bacterium. RNAcentral's name for it is "bacterial SSU rRNA". It matches the Rfam family "Bacterial small subunit ribosomal RNA", at positions 8 to 460 of the family's 1533-position model. The record is from RNAcentral.